This is a long non-coding RNA of Melospiza melodia melodia, 479 nucleotides long. RefSeq lists it as uncharacterized. The record is from RefSeq and is a predicted model, not a curated record. The transcript is spliced from 3 exons. Lineage: Eukaryota; Metazoa; Chordata; Aves; Passeriformes; Passerellidae.
UUUGCUCUUCAUCUGCAUCUGCACAUUUGUGGAUGCCUGUGAUCACAGCAGCAGGAGUUACACACAGGCUACACUGAUGGGGGGAACCAUGCCCAGAGCAGAAGAGAAUGGGAAGAAAUGGCUCAUGAUCCAUGGUUUUAGUGUCUCUGCUUUCCAAGAAAGAGGGUUCAUCAUCACUCCUGCACAGGAAAUCAGUCAAAAGUGAAACCUGGGCUUGAAGUACUGAAAAAACAGUACAGAAAUGGAGAGCUUACAAAAAACCAGAGUGGUGAAUUUUCUAUCAGUGCUAGACUUCACACUGGUAUCUGAAAGACUCCACUCGUAUGCUUUGGCACCUCAUUCUUGAGAUUUUUGUCUCAAAAUGCCCUCCUGAUAAGAUUCAAGAUCCUGACAUGUAAAACGAGACAAAGAAGAUGGAUGUGGGGGGCUGGUGAUUUCCAGCAAUAAAUCUUGGUGCUACAUGAAAGUGUUAAGUAAAA